AGACGCGUGCAUUUCGCCACAGUUCUCGCUGCAGCGCAGGCACCGUCGCCUUUAUCGGUAGACUCUGCGUCUUUGCAUAUCAACUGCUUGAUGGCUGCGGCAGAAACCGUCCUCGAGUUGCUUGGAUCAUCGAUUCAUCAUCGAACUAAACUCGAAAUUUUCUGAUGGUGAUAUUGCACACCGCGGCGAACUCACUCACACUCGCGGCGUGAGUAUGGUUGAAUGAGUGUGAUAUACGUGAUAUCGAGUGAUUCAGUGAUACGGCGGUGAGUUCGUGUCGUCGAGUGACCACGGGGUGAGGUUAAUUACAUCCAAGUCAUUCGUGCACCUCGUACCUUGGAGGCGAGCAGAAGCGGCUGGGGUUCCUCGCCUGGCAAGCACGCAAGAUCGGUCGAAGGUCCGCC
This 404-nucleotide unclassified non-coding RNA is filed under the name Ixodes scapularis (black-legged tick). Its description in RNAcentral is "zinc finger protein GLI4, transcript variant X7". The record is from RNAcentral. Lineage: Eukaryota; Metazoa; Arthropoda; Arachnida; Ixodida; Ixodidae.